This 13698-nucleotide long non-coding RNA is filed under the name Prunus dulcis (almond). RNAcentral describes it as "sRNA ncRNA". The record is from RNAcentral. Lineage: Eukaryota; Viridiplantae; Streptophyta; Magnoliopsida; Rosales; Rosaceae.
CACUUUCUCAUCCCUUCAUAUUUUACAGAGCGAAACAGAGAAAAAGCAGAGCAUUUUCUUUUGAAGCUUUCCUUCCUUCCACUAAAAGAAAUCAACAUGGGUGAUGCAGAAUCUUUGCAUUCCGCUGACGAGCUGAAACGCCAGAAGAAAAUCAAAUUGGCCAUCUAUAUUACUAUUUUCGUUGUGUUUCAGGUCAUAGUUAUCACCACAAUGAGUCUCACUGUCAUGAAAGUGAAAACUCCCAGGUUCAGGCUAGGCAACAUCAACGUCGAAAGCUUCGUAUCUGACUCGGCAGCGCCUUCAUUCGACACGAAAUUCACAACCCAAAUCAAGAUCAAGAACUCAGCCAACUGGGGUUCCUACAAGUUCAAUGCUGCCAAUAUCACGUUUCAACACCAAGGAGCGACUCUGGCAGUAAUUGAUAUCGCAAAGGGCAAGGCUGGAUGGCUUUCGACCAUAAAAAGAAAUGCGGAGGUGAGUUUGAAUUCAAAUGCAAUAACUGGUUCAAACUUUGGAAGUGAAUUGAGCAGCGGGGUGUUGACGCUCAACAGCGUAGGAAGAUUGAACGGAAAAGUUGCAAUUAUGUUCAUCAUGAAGAAGAAGAAGGCCGCCAACAUGAACUGCACCAUAGCUUUUGAUGUGACAGCCAAGACCCUCAAAUCUUUAGAAUGCAAGUGAGCGAAGUAGCUAAGCAUCCAGGCUGCAUCUUCCGCAUUUGGAUGCGACUAGUUAGUUUUUGAUUUGUGGGUUUUCAUAUUCUUUUCAUUCGUUGUAUCUGUGUGGCGAUUGGAUUUGUUAUAGAGUUAUAAUGGUAUUUGUUUUCGUUAUUAAUUAAUAAUUUUCUUGAUUUGAUAGAAUUUUGGAUGCCAUUUUCGUCAACAAAUGCAUUGAAUUUGGAUGUUCUACACUGGCAUAAUCUGACAAAUCAAAAUUAUAAGAUUCUUCAUGAAACUUCACUUAAAUUACUGGGAUUAAAAGUGAAAUUUAGUAUAAUUUUUACAGAAAAACACAGUAGCCAUUUUUAUUUUUAGUGUUAGUUUUUUAGUACAAGCGAUUGUAACCUAGUAGCCAAUUUAGGAGAUUGGCCCCAGAGCUUACCAGCCCAAGCUCAGUAGGCGAAAGCUGUGGGGAGUACAGUGAGUGUCGGAAUUCGCCGGUGUAGGGAACUGUCCUAGCCAAUUGCAAAUGUCUUUAUUUCUUUCUCCGAAUUCUAUGUCUCAAGCAUAGUGCACGAAAGAAGAGUAUGGCAUCUCUGCUUUAUGCUGGAUAGUUCAAGUAGGUAAGCCAGUAAGCAAGCCUAUUCAUUCCAUGCAAGCAAGCUAGCCAAGGGGCCAAAGAGUAGUAGGCUUUCAAAGAAUCUCCUUCCCUGCUGUCUGUCCUUUCCUUUCUUUUCCUUCUUAGGCGUAGUGGGAAGAGACGGUGCUAUUUUUCUUUUUAUCAAACCUAGUAGCCAAUUAAGCAAGGAAGAAUGUCACAAAAAAGUGUAGGACCUUGUUGGACAUUCGAAAGUCCCCAAGUUCUUCAGUUUGGGCCUCUAAUCACAUCUCAUGUUCUUAGUUAUAGUCCAUGUCCUUGGUCUCAAUGUCAGUUUUUACUAAACUUUUAUACAAUAAUACUAACCUUGUUCAGCCAUUGUAGCAUUAGAGUAUCUUGAUUUCGUCUAGAGAGUCUUCUACCCUAUGCAGCACUUUAUUUUCUCUUUCUCUUAGAUAGUGAGAUCUGAUUUGAGAGCGUGUUUGCUGCAAGGGGAGGGACCUCUAUUUAUAUGUGCAUCACUCAUAAGCUUUGCCUAUCAAGAAGCAUUUGAGUGUCCUUUUUGCAUUAGAAUAGGUUUGUUUCAAUCCAUGUUAUAUUAGGAAUCCUGAUAAUACUUGUGUUUAACUUUAAUAAGCUUUGUACAAGUAUUAUCUCAUAAGGAUUGAGUUCUAUUUCCUGAUCAAACCAAAACUCAAAUCCUCUUGGGAUAAGAAGAUCAUCUUUUAUGGGCUGAGACAAUAAAUCGUCUUACAUUCUCCCACUUGAUCGAUUAAUCCCAAAGUUUUGUGUUGAUCACUUAAGGCCUUUGUGAAAUAUAACUCAAACUGAUUCCAUCAAGCAAUUGUCAAUUUUAAAGAAUGAAAUGGAAGCAUCAAGACUUCACUGGAUAUCUAAUGCUCCAGGAUCUUUAUAAUUAUAUUAAUCAUUCUUUAAAACCACAUAAGCUUCCAUCAAGAUUAAACAGAAAAAUAAACACAUUCUACUGUAAAGCUUUAUGAACAUGUUCAUUCAAUGUCCCUUAAUUUGACUACUUAAGGUCUUAUCACUUUUAAAAUGAUAUCCUAUCAUGAAUGAAAACCGUAUGCAGAUAUCUUUAGCUAGCUUUCUGCUUAAUUCAUUCAAGUAUUUAUAAGCAUAUACAUAUACAACAUUUAAGCAUGUAAACUGUUUUAAUGAGAAAACUUUAUUUUUGAAUCACAAAAUAAAAUAAACAUCCAUCGAAAACCAUACCCAACUGUGAAUUAAGGCUAUAACAGAAAACUACUCAAAACUUCACAAGGCUCCCAUUGAUUUAAGCAUUCAAAUCAUUCCUUAAUCCCAUGCUCAUAACAUGCCUGUGAAACACUGCAUUUGGGAUUCCUUUUGUGAGAGGGUCUGCAAUCAUUCUGUCUGUACUGAUAUGACUUAUAUUAGUAUAGCCUUGAGCAAUUUUCUCCUUCACUAUUAUGAACUUGACAUCCAACAGUCUCGAACCCUUUGUUCUUUUGUUUCCUUUUGCAAACAAAACUGCUGCACUGUUGUCAUUCCAUAUUUGAAUUGGUCUGUGUAUUGAUUCAACCACAUUCAAGCUGAUGAUGAAAUUUCUUAACCAUAUGGCUUGAGAGGUAGCUUCAUAGCAUGCUAGAAACUCAGCAAACAUAGUUGAACUUGCUGUCAGAGGUUGUUUUACACUUCUCCACGACACUGCACCUCCGCUAAACAUAAACACAAAACCUGAUGUAGAUUUUAAGGAGUCUUGACAUCCUGCAAAAUCAGCAUCUGCAUAACCUUGUAAUUCUAGUGUAUCACUUCUUUUGAAUGUCAGCUUGUAAUCUUUUGUCCUUUGCAAAUAUCUUAACACUCUUUUCCCUGCAAUCCAGUGAGCUUGUCCAGGAUUAGACUGAAAUCUUCCCAGUACACUGACUACAAAAGCCAAGUCAGGUUUGGUACAAACGUGCGCAUACAUUAAGCUUCCAACUAGUGAAGCAUAUGGUUUAUCAACCAUUUCCAGCUUUUCUUGCUCAGUCUUAGGUGCUUGUUCAGUGCUCAGUUUAUCCCCUUUUGAGAUAGGAAUGUCACUUCCUGUGCAGUUUUGCAUAUUGAAUCUCUUGAGCACCUUUUCUAUGUAGGAUUUUUGUGAUAGUCCAAGUACCCCAUUCUUUCGAUCUCUGCUUAUAUCUAUGCCUAAAACAUAUGAUGCCUCAACUAGAUCAGUCAUUUCAAAAUUCUUAGAUAGGAAAUUCUUGCAGUCAUGUAGCAUGGUGAGGUUUGUGCAUGCUAGUAGAAUGUCAUCCACAUACAGAACUAGUAUAAUGAAGUGUCUCCCACUCAUCUUCAUGUAUAUGCAUUCAUCUAAAACAUUCUCAACAAAACCAAAAUCUUUCACUACCUUAUCGAACUUUAGGUACCACUGUCUAGAGACUUGUUUUAAUCCAUAGAUUGAUUUGCAUAGCUUGCAGACCAAACUUUUUCCCCCUUCUUGAACAAAACCUUCAGGUUGUACCAUGUAUAUGUCUUCUUCCAAAUCUCCAUUUAGAAAAGCUGUUUUGACAUCCAUCUGGUGCAAGUGGAGGUCAAAAUGUGCUACAAGGGCCAUAAUAACCCUUAAUGAAUCUUUGGUUGAGACUGGUGAGAAAGUCUCAUUAAAAUCUAUUCCUUCUUUCUGUGUGAAUCCCUUUGCAACCAACCUUGCCUUAUACCUGUCUAUCUGUCCUUUUGAGUCCAAUUUCAUUUUAUAUACCCACUUACAACCAAUUGGUUUGCAACCUUGGGGUAAAGUUACAAGCUUCCAGACUCCAUUUUUCUCCAUUGAAUUCAGUUCUGAUUUCAUUGCUGCAAACCAGUUUUCUCUCUUUUCACUUGUCAUGGCCUGUUUGAAGGUUGCAGGAUCUUCUAUGAUAUUCACAUCAUGUUCUGCUCCCUGCAAGUACACAAAAUAAUCAUCUCCUAAAGCAGGUUUUCUUUGCCUUUGUGAUCUUCUUAGUUCCAUGUUAGGUUCUGGAUUUUCUACUUCAGAUGCUUGAGCCAUGACUUGGUUUUCUGCUGGCAGUGCUUGAUCAUCAUUUAAUUCCAUUGGUUCUGCAGUUUCAAGUCCAUUUGUAUUGAUCUCCUCAGUGUGUACCAGCUGAGUAUUGCUUGAAUCAAUUUGAGGUAGUCUGACAAUAUCUUCAUUCGAAAUCUGUGGCAUGUCAUGGUUCAAGGUUAUUUCUUCAAAACUGAAACUUUCCUCCUCAUCUCUUUCUUGGUCAGUUUCAAUAAAGACUGCUCUUGAGGUUUCUAUGAAUCUGGUAGUGUGUUUGGGGCAAUAAAAUCUAUAUCCCUUUGUUCUUUCAGGAUAGCCAACAAAAUAACCACUUAUGGUUUUUGGAUCCAACUUCUUUUCUACAGGAUUGUAAGGUUUUGCUUCUGCUUUACAACCCUAUACUAGCAGAUGUUUAAUGCUAGGCUUCCUUCCAUUCCACACUUCAUAGGGGAUUCUAUUUAUGCUUUUGGUUGGAGUUCUAUUUAGAAUGUAAUUUGCUGUUUUUAAGGCUUCUCCCCAAAGAAAAAUUGGUAAAUUUGUACAGCUCAUCAUGCUUCUUAUCAUGUCUUUCAAGGUCCUAUUUCUUCUUUCUGAAAUUCCAUUUUGCUGAGGUGUACCUGGGUUGGUAUACUGAGCUAUGAUUCCUUCUUCUUGAAGAAAUUUAGCAAAAGGUCCAAGAUUUCUUCCAGUCUCAUUAAACCUUCCAUAGUACUCUCCUCCUCUAUCCAAUCGAACCACCUUUAUUUUCAAGUUCAACUGGUUUUCUACUUCAGCCUUAUAAAUUUUGAACUCGUCCAAUGCGCUGGAUUUCUCUUUAAUAAGAUAGAUAUAUCCAUAUCUUGAAAAAUCAUCUGUAAAGGUUAUAAAGUAGUUAAACCCUUCAUGAGUUGGAUUUGGAAAAGGUCCACAUAUGUCUGUGUGAAUGAGCUCUAGUAAACCUUUGCUGCCCAAUGCCCCUUUCUUUCUUAAGUUGGUUAAUUUCCCUUUGAUACAUGGAAUGCAAACUUCAUCUAUGUUUUCGUGAUUCAAUGGUGGUAAGAUAGAUUCUUUGCACAUUUGUGUUAUCCUUUCUUUUGAAACAUGUCCAAGUCUCUUAUGCCAUAAUUUGAAGGAAAUCUCAUUGGUUUUAGUUUGCACAAUGUUUAUUUCCAUUUCAGUUCUUUUACAGUUUAAUCGAAACAUUCCAUCAAUGAGACUUGCUUUGCCAACUAAAUCUUUAUUUCUGAAAAUAGAACAACCAGUUCCAUCAAAAUUCAAACUGAACUUUGAUUUUACAAGUCUAGUAACUGAAAUCAAACUCUUCUUCAUAGAAGGAACAUAAACUACUUCAUCUAAUUCCAAAACAAAACCAAAUUCUAGCUUGAUUCUAACUGUCCCUAUGUAAUUAACUUGGACUUCUUCUCCAUUUCCCACGAACACCUUCACUUCAUCCUUGCUUGGCAGCCUCUUGCUUGUAUACUCCUGCAAGGAAUUAGCCACAUUAAUAGAAGCACCACUAUCUAACCACCAUGAAUCACACAAGAAAUUAACCAAAUUAGAUUCAAAACAGACCAAAAUCAGAUUGUUAUUACCUUUUCCCUUCUUCUUUUCCAGCCACUUUUUGUAUUUCCUGCAGUCUCUUUUCAUAUGCCCAGCUUUCUUGCAAAAGAAACAACCCAAUCCAGUUGUAGGUUUCAAAGCCUUUUCUGUAAUGCUAUCUUUUUCUUUCCCAGUUGCAGUCUUAUACUUAUUUUCCUUGUUCUGUUUAGUCUGAACCAUGUUGACCAUUUUGGCUCCCCUUUCUCUUAUGUUGUUGUGCUCUUGUUGGACAGAAAUAGUAAUAAGAUCAUUCAAAGUCCAGUUCUCCUUCUAAGCAAUGUAGGUUUCCUUGAGAGAUUUAAAUUCUUUAGGCAAUGAAUUUAGUGCAAAAUGGACCAUCAUAUCUUCAUCUACUGUCAUAUCCAAUUCCUGUAGUUUUGUCCCUAAGUCAAUCAAGUUCAUGAUAUGAGCUCUCACACAACCUUGCCCAUCAUAUUUCAUAUCAAUCAAUUGAUUCAGCAAGGUACUCUUGACAGCUUUUUCGGAUUCCUUAAACCUCUGUGCAAUUGCCUCAUAGUAUUGCUGUGCAUUCUUAGAUUUAGGAAUACUUCCUUUCAUUGAUGAAGACAUAGCCCUUUGCAUGAUUAACAUAGCCAUCUUGUUUGCCUUUUCUCAUUUGGCAAACUUAGUCUUGGUUUCUGCAGAAGCAUCUGCAGCUGGUUCUUGAGGAGGUUUCUCUUUGAGCACAAAAUCGUAAUCCAGAAAGCCUAGAGAUAUUUCCAGAUCCUGUUUCCACUUGCUAUAAUUCGAUCCAGUCAAGGUUUCAAUGGAGUUGUGAUUCACUGUAAAAUUUGCAGUACAAAUUAAAUAAAACUGUCCCUAAAUCUUUACUUAAACAUGUCAACUUAUACAUGUGGGUUUAAGUUUAACGUGUUCCAAAACCCUAAAAGGUUAACUGUACAGGCUUCCUGCGCAAGUAACUCACAUCUGUGGAUGUAAAGAUACUUACAAGCCAGUGCAACUAACUGUCCAGAUUGUUCCAUCAGUGGUGAUCAAUCUGUACAAUUUUCAUCUGUGGAUGGAGAAUCAUAUAGAAGGCUAUAAACACUGAUGCAAUUUUCUGACCAAACUGUCAAAUUCAAGAACUCCUACAUAGCCUGAGCAGCUGUGGCUUACUCAUUCUGCAUAGCAGUUUUCAAAUUAUUGGUCAAAACUUUAUGAGCAGAGAUAACCUUAUGCUCUUAACAUUUAAGAUUUUGAAACAAGGAAAAACUGCAUACUUUUAUAGCUUAUGAUCAAAUGGUUAGAUUAAAGGACAAAAGCCUAGAGCUCUGAUACCACAUGUAAGUUUUUACUAAACUUUUAUACAAUAAUACUAACCUUGUUCAGCCAUUGUAGCAGUAGAGUAUCUUGAUUUCGUCUAGAGAGUCUUCUACCCUAUGCAGCACUUUAUUUUCUCUUUCUCUUAGAUAGGGUGAGAUCUGAUUUGAGAGCGUGUUUGCUGCAAGGGGAGGGACCUCUAUUUAUAUGUGCAUCACUCAUAAAGCUUUGCCUAUCAAGAAGCGUUUGAGUGUCCUUUUUGCAUUAGAAUAGGUUUGUUUCAAUCCAUGUUAUAUUAGGAAUCCUGAUAAUACUUGUGUUUAACUUUAAUAAGCUUUGUACAAGUAUUAUCUCAUAAGGAUUGAGUUCUAUUUCCUGAUCAAACCAAAACUCGAAUCCUCUUGGGAUUAGAAGAUCAUCUUUUAUGGGCUCAGACAAUAAAUCGUCUUACACUCAACCCAUGUCCUUUCCGAUGACCACCCUUCAAUGGCCAAACGGCACCUCUUCGAUGGCAAAUCGCCACCUCGUCAAUGACUAAACAACAGCCCUGCUAUGGUGAACUGGUACCCAUUCGAUGACCAGACGUUAGCCUGUCAAUGGUCGAACGACAUCCAUUGUAUAGCCGAACGAGACCCCUUCAAUGACCUUUCAACAUUAAGUAUAUCAUUGCCACAUCCCGUUGGGAAUUAAAUUAUGCUAUUUGUAUUUCUUUAAAAAAAAAAAAAGGAAAAAAGAAGAAAAGAAAAGAAAAAGAAAAGAAAGAUGAAUUGAUAAAUAUCAGUCCCGAUCUCUUGGACCACAGUAGUCCAUAGUGAGUGAGUGAACCAUUGAAUUUACAUCCAACAGUGAGUGACCACAAAUCUCUUGGACUCCUGUAGUUCAAGAGAUCAGGACUGUAAUACAUAUUUUUAUUUGAUUUGGAUUCGUCGGGACUGACGAAGCUCGAACCUGUGGCUUUUGCCUUGACAGGCGGUGCUCAGGUACCCACCAAUUCUAAUAUAUAUUGAAAGGUUAGAAUGAAAUCAUAAAAAUAUAUACACUUUAUUUUAUUAUGGUAUUUACUUGGGAGUUUACCGUGGGCACGAUAAGUCGUACACUAGAGGUGCGUCCUUCAUUGAUGCAGGAGCAUAGGGGUGGAUCAAGAUAGAUAUUUACCAUUAAAUUAGUUAUUUCAUGAUAUAUUGUUAUUUUCUUAUUUAGGUAGUUUUAGGAUAACUUUUAUUAUUUAUGUGUGAUUUUAUAAUUAAUCAGUUUACUUUUGGACCAAGUAGCCUUGGUGCCCAAGUCUUGUAAAGCCUAUAAAUAAGGCUAAUGUAAUAGUUGUAGGGGAAUAUAUGUUGAUGAUUAAUAAAAUAGUUUAUUUGUGGCAUGGAUUUGCUACGAUAUAUGUGAGUUUGCACUAUCCCUAUAUUUCGGUGCUCGUGUAUGUGGUUGGUGACUUGUGUCCUAACCUCAAUCCCCAUCAAUUGGCAUCAGAGCUAUGGCUCAAGAUCUGCUUUAUCGGGGAGGUUUUUGCAUGGAGGGUCGUGUUAACAACUGCAACAACAUGGUGGAAAUUAGGAGGAUGCUACGGCAACUUACGGAACGCAUUGCUCACAUUGAAGCUCGAACCCAGAUAGGUAAGAGUUCUGACGGGGAGGGAGGUGUGAAUCCUUAUCUGAACCGAGUAGCUCGCAUCGACACUCUAAACCGUGGGCGUCUCGACGGGGAGUACGAGGGAGAUAGCCCUUUUCAUUAUUGCGCUCCGCUAUGUGAGUCAAGUGAAGAGGAGCACAGUUAUUCUCAUUGUGUCUUUGAAGGUAUAAAUGAAUUUGAUAAUUUUGGUGCAUCUUGUUAUUCAUCAAAGUUAUUAAAUUUGGAUUUACCUCCAAUAUUUGAUCCUUGCAACUGUCAAAAUUGCAAUGAAAAUUGUUUGGGUGUUCAAAGCAAUUUUGAUAAGCAAUUUAUUGACCAGAACAGUGAAGAGAUGAGAAUUGAGAAAACUUUCGAAGAUAUUAUUGAUAUUAUGGGCAUUAAUAUUUUCACUUGGAAGGUUGCCAAAAAUAUGGUUGAUUUUGUCAAUCGGUUGAAGAUUCUAGAGAGAAACAUUUGCAUUGCUAGAGGGAGUAAGAAGCCAAGAAUAACGAAAUAUUCCAAAUAUAUUUUUAUUUGGAAAGGAAGGUUUCAAUUGUAUGCUAAAAGAUCCAGAAUUAAUAUGAAGCAAUUGAAGAUUCUACUCGGAUUUUCCUCAAUCAAAAGCUUGAAUUCGAGGACGAAUUCUUUCCAACCAUGGGAGUCUGAUGCAGGAGUAUAGGGGUGGAUCAAGAUAGAUAUUUACCAUUUAAUUAGUUAUUUCAUGAUAUAUUGUUAUUUUCUUAUUUAGGUAGUUUUAGGAUAUCUUUUAUUAUUUAUGUGUGAUUUUAUAAUUAAUUAGUUUACUUCUGGACCAAGUAGCCUUGGUGCCCAAGUCUUGUAAAGCCUAUAAAUAAGGCUAAUGUAAUAGUUGUAAGGGAAUAUAUGUUGAUGAUUAAUAAAAUAUAGUUUAUUUGUGGCAUGGAUUUGCUACGAUAUAUGUGAGUUUGCACUAGCCUAGAUUUCGGUGCUCGUGUAUGUGGUUGGUGACUUGUGUCCUAACCUUGAUCCCCAUCAUUCAUGGUCCUCUCGUACUAGGGAAAGGUCCUGUCAAUGCUCUAAAGCCCCGAAGAAGGGGUUGCCUCAAAUUCUCUCGUUAUUCAAUAGCCAUAACCUUUACAGGUGGAACCCCCUAAUUGUUCAACCCGAUUCGACUGGCUUUUGGAUAACAAGAAGGCUAGAUGAUCUGAUUUGAUCAAGGAAAAAACCCAGUUAGCCACCACAGAAUCGACUCCCCCUUGAUUGUACAGGAAUAUGCAGAGCUCAACAUGUCUGGAAGUACAUGAGAACGUUCUUUUGCUGAUAUUAUUACGAGUAUUGGGUCAUUCUUAGCAUUACUAUACCUUCCUUGAAUUCUUGUUUGGACAGUUCAUACUAUCCAUACAUAAUGUUUUGAUACAAGAUUUUUUCAAUUCUUCCAUGUUUUAGCAACAAUUAGAAUAUUGUUCCAUGGAGUUAAGGUCCAAAAUAUGGAAGAAACAGGUGUUUCCACGACUCUACGGCCAAGUCAAUUCUAUUUCACUUAAUCUCAAUUUCAUGGCCACAUAUCUUUCCGGCUAAGGAAUGAGAACCAUUUCUCUUGUUACCUGAAUCCAAUUUUCAUUUCAUCUGGGGAAAAGCCAUCUUUUUUUAAACAAUGUCUUUGUCAUUUGAUCCAAUAACGUUCUGUUAGACAGGAACAACUUUGAUAAAUACUGACAACUCUCGGAUGGAGUAGUAGAACGGAAAAAUCCACUAGAUAAUGAAGUAUUGGUUCUAAGCCAUCUCAGGUGAUGAAUCAACAAUUUGAAGUACCUUUCUUGAGUAUUUUUGAUAAACCAUCAUUUACAUAUAGAUGUAGGAAGAUCUGUUUUGGAGGUAAGAAGCCCAUUUGACAACUCUUCAUCUGCAAAGAAUUCUCAAUGUGAAAACACAGAGAUAAAAGGCUGAUCUUUGACUAGGAAAAAGAGUGGAUCCGCAUAGUCCCAAAUAUGCAGUACCUCGACGUGACAUGAGCGUGAAAGGGUUCAAGAAUUAGUUUUCUUUUUAUAAGGGCUAAAUUAAUUUAUUUUGGCCUUUUAGCCCCAUAUUGUAAGGUGGAUCUCGACUACGAGUGUAAUAUGAGCAUAUAUCGACUAACGGAUCACCCCAAGCCCAAAGUAUGGAACCCUAAAAAGAGACUAAACCAACUUAAAUGAGAUAUGAUAACUUCUUUAUGGUCUACCAUUCUUGCCAAUCCAUAUGAUGUCCUUUUCAGGAGCUAGAGGAAAUGCAGACAAAGACCCCGUUUUUUCCUCUUUUCGGAUAGUAAAUAUUUCUCAAAAUAUGGAGUGUGAAUAACCCUGACGUCACAAGUUCAAAUCCCGUCUUCAUAACCCUAAUUGAAAUCCAUACAUUUGUCUCAUACACUAUAGGGAUGGUGAGAAAAGAUAUAUUUUACAUCCCAAAGGGGCUAUAAUUGGGGAAUAAAUAAAUAAAUCAAAUUCUGGGAGGUGUCUUGAAGUGCUUCUUUAGGAGUUAAACUUCCAUUUGUCCAUAUUUUGAGAAAAAAGUAUUUUCAUUCCCAUUCACAUAAGACUGAAUGCUAUGAUUCGCAUUUCGAACAUGCAUGAAUUCAACAUCUAGAGGAUAACUUUCAACUCAUUAGUACAUAAACCAAUUGUAUACCACCAUUGAUAAACAUGAGAAUAAGCAAUAUUUACCAGGCCAAGUUCUGGAUAUUCCUCAAUGUCUCAGCUAUUCACGGAACGUGAGAAUCAGAUGAAUAAGCACUUGCUUUUGAAUUAAAAAAAUGCGUGGGUCCCAUCUCAAAAUCUGUAAUCACAUUGCCUUAAAACCAUGAAUUAGAUCAACUAGGGAGGGGUAGUUGAUCCGAUUCCCAUUCCAUUUUUCCCUUACUACCUUCCAAAAAUACCCUUACUACUUUAAUAUAAUUACAAAACACCCUAAACCCUAGAAAAAUAAAAACUCACACCACUUUAAUAUUUUCAAGAUAAUGCUUAGGUUAUUAUUAUUCGAUUGCGUUUAAUAUUAUUUGAAAAUGGUUAGUUUAGCACCACAAUUUGGAGGAACAUGGACAUAAAACACAAACUAUAAUUGACACUUGUUAUGUUCUUCCACUCCAUAAAAUGAAGAAACCAAACUUCGAAGCCUUUUUGUUUUAGAAAAAAUUCAAUGGCUGUUUAUUAAUCACUGUUGGAAAAAACAAAAAUUUUCCCUUUUCACCUUAGUUGCUAGCCUCUACUUGUCCUGUUAUGCUUCUUAUCACUGUGUCAUAUUUGUUUUUUUGUUUUUUUCUAUUAUAUUCCUUAUAUUUUUAUAUACAAGUUUCAUCACUCGUUAUAUAGCAUCUUAUAUUAUUCAAUUUACUUUUUUACAAGUUAUUUAGGUUAAAAAUAUAUACUUAUACGUGGAGGGCAUUUUAGUAAUGAAAUUAGUUUAGGUUCUAAUUCAUGAGACUUAGUAAACAAUAACAAUGAAAAUCAACUUCAUUUAUGUGUUGAUUCCAUAUGGUUAGUAAAUAGCUUAAUGGGAAUGAUUCUUCUCAUACCUAUACAUUACUUCCCCGAUUCCUAAAUUCUCUGAUUCCUUACUUCCUCCAUUCUUGGUAAGUAAACUCCUGUAGUGUUUGGACAAUUGGAUUGAAAAGUUGUUUUAGUUUGUGUCAAUGGCAUUUAAGGUUUUUUUUCCUGGAAAUGCCAAAAUAUAACCAGACGCGCAUGGUUAGAGGUUUCGAUUUCUAGUCUUCUAGAAAGGGUCAAUAACUUUGAGGAACUUGGUCUUUGUAACGAGACACAUACAGAUCUUUGUUUGUGUAGAAGGUAAAGUCUUUAAAGCCCUCGGAGCUUUCCUUUAUUCUAUACUUUGAUUAUCUUCGAAGGGUCAAUACGCGCAGCAGAUUAUAUACUAGUAUAAUAGGGCUUCAAGUCACGUUCUCAAACAUCUAGAAGAAGGGCUCUAGAAGUCAAUAAACUACAACCCAGUUAUUCGCGCGUUUUGAUUCCAAUUUCCAGCAACUUUAUACUCUCGAUAUUAUUCCUCCUCAUUAACCAAGUUGUCUAUAUAUACAACACAGCACCCACCCACAUUCUCACAAUCAAUACACUUCCUCAUCACUUCAUAUUUUACAAAGCAUUUUCUUUUGAAGCUUUCCUUCCUUCCACUAAAAGAAAUCAACAUGGGUGAUGCAGAAUCUUUGCAUUCCGCUGACGAGCUGAAACGCCAGAAGAAAAUCAAAUUGGCCAUCUAUAUUACUAUUUUCGUUGUGUUUCAGGUCAUAGUUAUCACCACAAUGAGUCUCACUGUCAUGAAAGUGAAAACUCCCAGGUUCAGGCUAGGCAACAUCAACGUCGAAAGCUUCGUAUCUGACUCGGCAGCGCCUUCAUUCGACACGAAAUUCACAACCCAAAUCAAGAUCAAGAACUCAGCCAACUGGGGUUCCUACAAGUUCAAUGCUGCCAAUAUCACGUUUCAACACCAAGGUGCGACUCUGGCAGUAAUUGAUAUCGCAAAGGGCAAGGCUGGAUGGCUUUCGACCAUAAAAAGAAAAGCGGAGGUGAGUUUGAAUUCAAGUGGAAUAACUGGUUCAAACUUUGGAACUGAAUUGAGCAGCGGGGUCUUGACGCUCAACAGCGUAGGAAGAUUGAACGGAAAAGUUGCAAUUAUGUUCAUCAUGAAGAAGAAGAAGGCCGCCAACAUGAACUGCACCAUAGCUUUUGAUGUGGCAGCCAAGACCCUCAAAUCUUUAGAAUGCAAAUGAGCGGAGUAGCUAAGCAUCCAGGCGUCAUCUUCAGCAUAUGGAUUGCGACUAGCUAGUUCUUGAUUUGUGACUUUUCUUAUUCUUUUAUUCUUUUAUUCUUUGUAUCUGUGUGGCGAUUGGAAUUGUUAUAGAGUUAUAAUGAUGUAUUUGUUUUCGUUACCACUCCCCUGUAGUUAUUUAUUUCAUGAUGAUCUAUUCCUUGAUAUUUACUUAUUUAUGGUCUGCUUCUUUGAAGUGCCCGAUUAUUCUCUAA